The sequence is a regulatory RNA element, 120 nucleotides long. It matches the Rfam family "FMN riboswitch aptamer (RFN element)". From Rfam's summary of the family: The RFN element is a highly conserved domain that is found frequently in the 5'-untranslated regions of prokaryotic mRNAs that encode for flavin mononucleotide (FMN) biosynthesis and transport proteins. This element is a metabolite-dependent riboswitch that directly binds FMN in the absence of proteins. The record is from Rfam.
GUUUGUCUUCAGGGCAGGGUGUAAUUCCCGACCGGCGGUAAAGUCCGCGACCUACAGCGAUGUAGUUGAAUUGGUGUAAUUCCAAUACCGAUAGUAUAGUCUAGAUGAAAGAAGACAGUC